CAGGCUUAACACAUGCAAGUCGAGGGGCAGCACAGGUAGCAAUACCGGGUGGCGACCGGCGCACGGGUGAGUAACGCGUAUGCAACUUACCUAUCAGAGGGGGAUAACCCGGCGAAAGUCGGACUAAUACCGCAUGAAGCAGGGGCCCCGCAUGGGGAUAUUUGCUAAAGAUUCAUCGCUGAUAGAUAGGCAUGCGUUCCAUUAGGCAGUUGGCGGGGUAACGGCCCACCAAACCGACGAUGGAUAGGGGUUCUGAGAGGAAGGUCCCCCACAUUGGUACUGAGACACGGACCAAACUCCUACGGGAGGCAGCAGUGAGGAAUAUUGGUCAAUGGCCGAGAGGCUGAACCAGCCAAGUCGCGUGAGGGAUGAAGGUUCUAUGGAUCGUAAACCUCUUUUAUAAGGGAAUAAAGUGCGGGACGUGUCCCGUUUUGUAUGUACCUUAUGAAUAAGGAUCGGCUAACUCCGUGCCAGCAGCCGCGGUAAUACGGAGGAUCCGAGCGUUAUCCGGAUUUAUUGGGUUUAAAGGGUGCGUAGGCGGCCUUUUAAGUCAGCGGUGAAAGUCUGUGGCUCAACCAUAGAAUUGCCGUUGAAACUGGGGGGCUUGAGUAUGUUUGAGGCAGGCGGAAUGCGUGGUGUAGCGGUGAAAUGCAUAGAUAUCACGCAGAACCCCGAUUGCGAAGGCAGCCUGCCAAGCCAUGACUGACGCUGAUGCACGAAAGCGUGGGGAUCAAACAGGAUUAGAUACCCUGGUAGUCCACGCAGUAAACGAUGAUCACUAGCUGUUUGCGAUACACAGUAAGCGGCACAGCGAAAGCGUUAAGUGAUCCACCUGGGGAGUACGCCGGCAACGGUGAAACUCAAAGGAAUUGACGGGGGCCCGCACAAGCGGAGGAACAUGUGGUUUAAUUCGAUGAUACGCGAGGAACCUUACCCGGGUUUGAACGCAUUCGGACCGAGGUGGAAACACCUUUUCUAGCAAUAGCCGUUUGCGAGGUGCUGCAUGGUUGUCGUCAGCUCGUGCCGUGAGGUGUCGGCUUAAGUGCCAUAACGAGCGCAACCCUUGCCACUAGUUACUAACAGGUGAUGCUGAGGACUCUGGUGGGACUGCCAGCGUAAGCUGCGAGGAAGGCGGGGAUGACGUCAAAUCAGCACGGCCCUUACAUCCGGGGCGACACACGUGUUACAAUGGCGUGGACAAAGGGAGGCCACCUGGCGACAGGGAGCGAAUCCCCAAACCACGUCUCAGUUCGGAUCGGAGUCUGCAACCCGACUCCGUGAAGCUGGAUUCGCUAGUAAUCGCGCAUCAGCCAUGGCGCGGUGAAUACGUUCCCGGGCCUUGUACACACCGCCCGUCAAGCCGUGGGAGCCGGGGGUACCUGAAGUCCGUAACCGCGAGGAUCGGCCUAGGGUAAAACUGGUGACUGGGGCUAAGUCAUAACA
This 1443-nucleotide ribosomal RNA is filed under the name uncultured organism. RNAcentral's name for it is "SSU rRNA". It matches the Rfam family "Bacterial small subunit ribosomal RNA". The record is from RNAcentral.